GGGGAAUAUUGCACAAUGGGGGAAACCCUGAUGCAGCAGCGCCGCGUGAGUGAUGAAGGCCUUCGGGUUGUAAAGCUCUGUCUUCAGGGACGAUAAUGACGGUACCUGAGGAGGAAGCCACGGCUAACUACGUGCCAGCAGCCGCGGUAAUACGUAGGUGGCAAGCGUUGUCCGGAUUUACUGGGCGUAAAGGAUGCGUAGGCGGAUAUUUAAGUGAGAUGUGAAAUUCCCGAGCUUAACUUGGGAGCUGCAUUUCAAACUGGAUAUCUAGAGUGCGGGAGAGGAGAAUGGAAUUCCUAGUGUAGCGGUGAAAUGCGUAGAGAUCUGGAGGAAUACCGGUGGCGAAGGCGGCCCCCUGGACAAAGACUGACGCUCAGGUGCGAAAGCGUGGGGAGCAAAC
This 400-nucleotide ribosomal RNA is filed under the name uncultured bacterium. RNAcentral's name for it is "bacterial SSU rRNA". It matches the Rfam family "Bacterial small subunit ribosomal RNA", at positions 356 to 773 of the family's 1533-position model. The record is from RNAcentral.